Molecule: ribosomal RNA, 253 nt
Filed under: uncultured bacterium
Lineage: Bacteria
Description: partial 16S ribosomal RNA
Rfam family: Bacterial small subunit ribosomal RNA
Source: RNAcentral
UACGUAGGCAGCAAGCGUUGUUCGGAGUUACUGGGCGUAAAGGGUGUGUAGGCGGUUGUUUAAGUUUGGUGUGAAAUCUCCCGGCUCAACUGGGAGGGUGCGCCGAAUACUGAAUGACUAGAGUGCGGGAGAGGAAAGUGGAAUUCCUGGUGUAGCGGUGAAAUGCGUAGAUAUCUGGAGGAACACCGGUGGCGAAGGCGGCAUCCUGGACCGAUAUUGACGCUGAUGCGCGAAAGCCAGGGGAGCAAACGGG